RNAcentral lists this unclassified non-coding RNA (362 nucleotides) under Hevea brasiliensis (rubber tree). Lineage: Eukaryota; Viridiplantae; Streptophyta; Magnoliopsida; Malpighiales; Euphorbiaceae. The record is from RNAcentral.
AAAGGAACAAGCAAACUAAUCUUUCAUCGUAAUUAAUUGUAUGCAAAUUGUGUGUAUAUCUGUACAUCAACCAAUUUGUGAAGUGUGUGCAUGGUGGGAACUCUCCAAAUAAUAUUUUUCCAUCAUAUAGACAGAGACAAAAGAGAAAAAAAAAAUGCAUAUGGAAGAAAACAGAAAACCCCUUCUCUCAGUAUUAGAGACCUUUCCCAAGCCUUGUAUCGAAAGGGGGCGAGCAACUAUACAACCUCAGGCCAACACAAAGAAUAUAGAAAUUGUCUUGGCAGGGCAUUGUAAAGCACAACCAACAUUAACCAAAAUAACCUACAACCCCGCUGGGCAAGCUCUUGACAGGCAAGCAUGAG